RNA transcript from Nomascus leucogenys (northern white-cheeked gibbon), 3441 nucleotides. It is a transcript of the gene named LON peptidase N-terminal domain and ring finger 3, with no coding region annotated. The record is from RefSeq and is a predicted model, not a curated record. Lineage: Eukaryota; Metazoa; Chordata; Mammalia; Primates; Hylobatidae. The transcript is spliced from 10 exons.
UAGGCGGCGCGGGGCGGCCGGCAUGGAGCUCCGGGAGGCGCGGCAGGGUCAGGAGCUCGGUGGCACGGCGGCGGUGGCUGCCCCGAUUUCCUCCAGCUGCCACUCCUUGCUUCGUGUCCCCGGUCCCUAGACGCCUCGUCCCCUCCCGUGUCCCUCUUCCCAUGGAGUCAGUACGGACCGAACAGAUGCUGAGCUUGCCCGCCGAGGUCAGCAGCGACAACUUGGAGCUGGCGGAGCGAGGGGCAUCAGCGGCCCAAGUAGACAUGGGCCCCCACCCAAAGGCGGCUGCAGAGGGCCCCGCACCUCUACCGACGCGGGAGCCAGAGCAAGAGCGGUCUCCGGGGACCUCAACGCCGGAGAGCAAAGUCCUGCUCACGCAGGCAGACGCCUUGGCGUCCCGGGGGCGAAUCCGGGAAGCCCUCGAGGUGUAUAGACAGCUCUCCGAGCGGCAGCAGCUGGUGGCUGAGCAGCUGGAGCAGCUGGUGCGCUGCCUGGCGGAGAAAGUCCCGCAAGGCGAGGCGCUGGCGCCGGCGCCCCCGGACGAGGGUAGCACUGCAAGCGGCACCGUGGCGGCGGAAGAGACGGGGGCCGCCGCGGCUGCGGCGGCCACCGAGGUGUGGGACGGCUUUAAGUGCCGGAAAUGUCAUGGGUUUCUAUCAGACCCCGUGUCCUUGUCGUGUGGCCACACCUUUUGUAAACUGUGCCUGGAACGUGGGCGGGCCGCCGACCGGCGCUGUGCGCUGUGCGGGGUCAAGCUCUCCGCGUUGAUGGUGGCCACUGGGCGGGCGCGUGGAGCCCGGCGGGCUGGGCAGCAGCCGCCGCCGCCGCCACUGCGAGUCAACGUGGUGCUCAGCGGCCUCCUUGGCAAGUUGUUCCCAGGCCCGGCGCGGGCGUCGCAACUCCGGCACGAGGGCAACCGGCUGUACCGCGAGCGCCAGGUGGAGGCGGCACUGCUCAAGUACAACGAGGCAGUUAAGUUGGCUCCGAAUGACCACUUGCUUUAUAGCAAUCGGUCUCAGAUUUAUUUCACCUUGGAGUCUCAUGAGAAUGCACUACAUGAUGCAGAAAUAGCAUGUAAGCUCCGCCCAAUGGGUUUUAAGGCACAUUUCAGAAAAGCCCAAGCCUUAGCCACCCUAGGCAAGGUGGAGGAGGCACUAAGGGAGUUUCUCUACUGUGUAUCCCUUGAUGGAAAGAACAAGAGAGCAAGAUGUGAAGCCCAAAGAGACAAUCUGGAGCUCCCACAUUGUUCUAGUCAGGAGGAAGCAGCAGUCAGGGGACCCAGCAGUGUGAUGGACCCAGCUAAAGUGAAGGGGGAUGGUCAGCAGCACCACAUGAAAGACCAGGAAGAAGAGGAGGAGAAGCGGGAUGCUACCUCUCCAAAAGCUGCUUCCAGCAAGACUGGAAAAUGCCAGGAAAAGAAAAGGAAACAUUGCCACAUUGAAUCCCAAGAAGAAACAGGGAUGCCUAAUAAAGCCUCCAAGCAAGAUCCUCCCACUGAUCAGGGGGACAAACCUGCUCUCAGUUUACCACUUGCAUCUUUCGACGCAUCUGACCUUGAAUGCGCUCUAUGUAUGAGAUUAUUCUAUGAGCCAGUCACAACACCUUGCGGGCAUACUUUUUGCCUAAAAUGCCUAGAAAGAUGCCUAGAUCACAACGCAAAGUGUCCAUUGUGCAAAGACGGUCUUUCACAGUGCUUGGCAUCAAGAAAAUACAGCAAAAAUGUAAUAAUGGAGGAGCUCAUAGCUAAAUUCCUUCCAGAAGAACUGAAGGAGCGAAGGAAGCUUUAUGAAGAGGAAAUGGAAGAACUUUCUAACCUUAAUAAGAAUGUGCCUAUUUUCGUGUGUACUAUGGCCUAUCCCACCGUUCCUUGUCCCCUGCACAUCUUUGAGCCUUGUUACCGCCUGAUGAUUCGUAGAUGUAUUGAGACAGGCACGAGACAGUUUGGCAUGUGCCUUGGAGAUCCUGUCAAAGGGUUCAGGGAGAGGAUUGUGCUGAGCUCAUGGGAUUACAUAACUGUGUCUAUCAGCAAGCGUCAUUGUGGUUUCAUUCACUCAAAUCAUCCCUAAAGAAUCGGAUACUCAAUCACUUUGGUCCCAUGCCGGAGAAAGACGCUGAUCCUCAGAUGAACCCAAAUGGCCCAGCCUGGUGCUGGUGGAUGUUAGCGGUUCUUCCCUUGGAAAGCCGAGCUCAGCUCCCCUUCCUAGCAAUGAGGUCCUUAAAGGACAGACUGAAUGGUAUUCGACGAGUCCUGGCCUUCAUAUCCCGAAACCAAAACUAGUGAGUGGAUUGCCGAAGAGGAGCUCUCACCUUCCCCACUGCUGUCGGGGAGAGUCUUCUUGUAAAUAUAUCUAAUUGCAAUAAUAUCUUAACAGAAGGGGGUGUCAAGCAGAGGCAUCAGCCUGCUGUUGAUCACAGAGAGAAAUUGAGUAGAAAGACCAAAAGAAUGUGACCUAUUUGAAACUUUCUGUCUUAAGCUGCUUCUUGACAUGCUGCAUAACUACGUAAACAGCAGAGGUGUUUAAGAACCCAGAAAAACGUAAUUUGAUUUUAACAUUAAAAUUUCCAAAAGUUUAAAGUGGUUUUGCUUUAAUAUUCUUUCUUUCAUAGAUCAAUGACUGUGUGGUUGAAAUGUGAAAACAAAGAUACUAAUAAUGUUGCUGUAUAAUUUCACUGACUUGAGGUCUCAUUCCAAAUGGUUCAGGUUUUAUAGAGCAUUGUGUAAAAUAAUGUUCAUACUUCUUUCUGUUUUAAUAAUUUAUUUUUUGCACUACUGUAUCCUUUUUUCUACAUGUAUGUUUGUAACUAUUUAAGCGUACAUUGCUGAAAAGUCCGUUGCUUUAUUUAUUGAUGUGGUUUACCAUGUACCUAGGGGGAAAUAACAAUACUAGAAGUGUGCAGUUUUUGCUUUAAUCUUUUUUUUACUACAAUGACACUAGUUCUUAGAUCAUUUCUGUCCAAAUGGAUGCUUAAAAGAAGUUCAGGAUGAUGCUAAGAUCAUCUGUCUUCAGAGUCCACUUUUUUUUUCAGUUUGAACUAAACAAUAUAAAAUACUUAAGGGAUUUGGCCUAGAUUAUGGUAUAUGCCAAGGUAAAGUAAAAUAAAUAAUUCAUUUUCUGUGUGUAAUACAGAACAAAGCUGAAAGAAUUAUUUUUAUUAUAGGCAUUUACUUCAGCAAUCUAAUUGUACAUGUAUCUAAUUUUUCCCCAGUGCAGUUAGGAAUCAGAUUUUAGGCAGGAUUGUAAUUAACUCUUCAGAGGAAAUGGUGUUCAGUUUAGCACAUCACAGUCAUGCCCAACUAGCCUCCAUAACCCACCUCUCCCCAGGGUUCUGAGGAUCAAGACCUGGGCAGAAACACUUGAUAAGGACUUUUUCUUAUUAAAAAUGUAAAUAAGCCAAAUAGAGUAGAACCCUAUAAAAAUCUUUUUAAAGGAACCAGACGGC